This is a non-coding RNA of Miniopterus natalensis, 1344 nucleotides long. NCBI's taxonomy places the organism in Eukaryota, Metazoa, Chordata, Mammalia, Chiroptera, Miniopteridae. The record is from RefSeq and is a predicted model, not a curated record.
UGACCGGGAAUCGAACCCCGAUCUCCUGGAUCCUAGGUCGAUGCUCCACCGCUGAGCCACACCCGGCCGGGCUCCUCUGCCGAUUUUUACACAGCUCUUUUGGAGUCUCCGGGCGGAUAAAUCUCUGGAAGCCCAUUACAGACACGCGUGCACUCCUGAUGCUAACAUGGAAGGGUUCACAGCAGGUCGCUGCCCAUCCUGGCAACGUUUUCAUCCUGUGCUGCUCUCGGGGAGCCAGGGUGAGGCUGGCCUCGUGGGGUCUGAGCUGAACACCAUCAUACUGAAGAGAUGUAGAGCUGAUGCCACAGAUGUUACAUUUGUUUCUUGCUCUUUGAAUGGAAGGUGGUUGCUCAAUUUGGGGAACAGUCAUAAUGUCACAUGGAAAGACAGUUUUAAAAGCCUGAAAAAGUGGCUUUGCUUGCUUUUCUGCCUCAGGUUGGUGGUUUAUUUUAUCCAUUGUUAUUGACAGGGUCAGAGCUCCUAACGCAUAGUGCAGGUGCAUUGCAAACGUGAGCACACGUCUGUUCCUGAUUUCCAAUCACAGAUCUAACACAUCCAAAUGCACUAAAUGCCUCCAGAAAAAUCCGGCAGUUUUCAAGCAGAUGAUGUGGGAAAGUUGAGUCAUGAACUCAUUCUGUUCAAGUCCAAGCCACUGAAUUUCCUGCCCGGCUAGUGACAUGGUCUCUGUUUCUGAGAAGUGCCUCAUUUCUGGAGAGUUGUUUACAUACAAGAUACAAGUUGCAUUUAAACCAAUUAAAACAACUCAAAGUAAAAAAAAAAAAAAUAACUAAGAAAUUUAGAUAAUGUAAGAAUGUCUUCAGGCUUAGAAUUAGUGAGGAAAAUUUUAAAAACAUACGAAAUGAACUACAAAAAUAUUCCAGCAUUAUCUAUAGUUGUUUAGGUUUAGACUGUUUCUCAGAACUCUACUGACUAAACUGGCUGAAGGUUUAUAACUAACUUGGUGGGGGUGAGAUUGGUGGCUGAAGACAGAGUUGGGAGAGGCUGCCAUGGGUCUACAAGAGCUAACAGUUAAAUGGAAGAUUUGUCGUAGUCCUCAGGCCUGUUUGGCUAGUUUCCAAAAAAACAGGAAUUUCUGCCUCCCAUGAUAUAAAUAUUGCCUGUUCCGCUUUUGUGUAUGCUCACCUGCUUGAUCAGUUCUGUAACAUAUGAACUCUUGGUGGUACUGCACCUCAGGGCAAGAGCAGCAGUGUUAUUUUUCAUACGUGUAUACCUAGAGGGUGCCACUUGAAACAGCCUGAAAGUGUUCUGCACGUUGGUUCUUUGCUGUUAAUGAGGAGAAGUACUGUAAGCUUGGCUUUGUGCAAUAAAACAGACACAUCUGAG